This 483-nucleotide ribosomal RNA is filed under the name uncultured bacterium. RNAcentral describes it as "partial 16S ribosomal RNA". It matches the Rfam family "Bacterial small subunit ribosomal RNA", at positions 30 to 506 of the family's 1533-position model. The record is from RNAcentral.
AUUGAACGCUGGCGGCAGGCCUAACACAUGCAAGUCGAGCGGAUGAAGGGAGCUUGCUCCUGGAUUCAGCGGCGGACGGGUGAGUAAUGCCUAGGAAUCUGCCUGGUAGUGGGGGAUAACGUCCGGAAACGGGCGCUAAUACCGCAUACGUCCUGAGGGAGAAAGUGGGGGAUCUUCGGACCUCACGCUAUCAGAUGAGCCUAGGUCGGAUUAGCUAGUUGGUGGGGUAAAGGCCUACCAAGGCGACGAUCCGUAACUGGUCUGAGAGGAUGAUCAGUCACACUGGAACUGAGACACGGUCCAGACUCCGACGGGAGGCAGCAGUGGGGAAUAUUGGACAAUGGGCGAAAGCCUGAUCCAGCCAUGCCGCGUGUGUGAAGAAGGUCUUCGGAUUGUAAAGCACUUUAAGUUGGGAGGAAGGGCAGUAAGUUAAUACCUUGCUGUUUUGACGUGACCAACAGAAUAAGCACCGGCGAACUUCGU